Molecule: long non-coding RNA, 404 nt
Filed under: Chloebia gouldiae (Gouldian finch)
Lineage: Eukaryota; Metazoa; Chordata; Aves; Passeriformes; Passeridae
Description: Erythrura gouldiae (Gouldian finch) lncRNA (ENSEGOG00005007139.1)
Source: RNAcentral
UUUUUGCCUGAGCAUUCGUGGUGUGAAGCCUGCUGUUGGUGGCAGCAGUGCUUCCACAACUGAAGAGUGUGAGCUCUGCUGGGCAGCAGUGAUUGCUUCCCAGCACACCGGCCAAAUGCUCCCUCUUUCCUCACUCCCACAGUGAGCCAGAAAACAGCCCCAAGCCUGGAAGGAAGAAAUGGUGAUGAAAAGGCUGUGAGCACAGUCCAUGAUGUCCAGACUCCUCAACAGACCUUGGAUCACACUUCACCUUCCAGGCUGGAUGCUCUUAGUGCACGAGGAUUUCCUGAAGGUUGGACUGUAAUUUGUGAAGAUACUGGAUGACAGGUCUUUGUCUGCCUGGCUGUUAAAAAGAAGAGGUUGACAUUCUAGAGGUAAUAAAGCAAGAAAGAUCCUCUCUUUCA